This 2918-nucleotide ribosomal RNA is filed under the name Nitrososphaeria archaeon. Its description in RNAcentral is "23S ribosomal RNA". It matches the Rfam family "Archaeal large subunit ribosomal RNA". The record is from RNAcentral. Lineage: Archaea; Thermoproteati; Nitrososphaerota; Nitrososphaeria.
GCCAGCCGGUGGAUAACUCGGCUUGGGCGCCGAGGAAGGGCGUGGCAAGCUGCGAUAAGCCCCGGGUAGCCGCAUGCAGGCAUCGAUCCGGGGAUGCCCGAAUGGGAUUUCCUGUAGCCGGCUGCGAAAGCGGUCGGCUACGUACCGCGCAAAGCGCGGUACGGGAACCCCCUGAACGGAAACAUCCAAGUAGGGGGAGGAAAAGAAACCAAAACGGGAUUCCCUGAGUAACGGCGAGUGAAAGGGGAGGAGCCCAAACCGAAUCCCUGCGGGUGACCGCAGGGAGAUGUAGGGUUAUGGACCGGUCGCCCACUUAGCCCGCUGAGCCGAAGCGACCUGGAAUGGUCCGCCGUAGAGGGUGACAGCCCCGUAGGCGAAGGCGGGCUAAGGGAAGGACCGGUAUCCAGAGUACCGUACCUCGGAUAUGGUGCGGGAAGUUGGGAGCCAUCGGCUUCCAAGGCUAAAUACGUCCCAAGACCGAUAGCGCACCAGUACCGUGAGGGAAAGUUGAAAAGAACCCCGGAAGGGGUGUGAAAAGCGCUUGAAACCGGCUGGUAACAGACGAGUGCGGCCCAAAAGGGAACUCCACCCGAAGGCUCUCUUUCUGGGAGCCGAGGGUGGAUACCAGGGUCGCACACUCCGUCUUGAAACACGGGCCGGGGAGUUCAUGGUCAUGGCGAGCUUAAGCGCUUACCAAGGCGCGUAGGCGUAGGGAAACCGACAUGCCCGCAACCAGGGUUUAUCCCCUGGUGAGGGGCGGGGUCCGAAAGGGCCUGGAGUCAUGGCCAUGAGACUAGAAACCGGGCGAUCUAGCCCUGGGCAGGGCGAAGCCGGGCGAAAGCCCGGUCGAGGCCCGAAGGGGUCUUGACGUGCAAUUCGGUCCUCUGACCCGGGGCUAGGGGCGAAAAACCAAUCUAGCCCGGUGAUAGCUAGUUCCCUCCGAAGUGAGUUGCAGCUCAGCCUCCGGCGAGGCAGCCCAGGGGGUAGAGCACCGAUAGGGGGGUAAGGGUCCGAAAGGGCCCGCCUUCCUUUCGAACUCCGAAUACCUGGGCGCCGUAGACCCGGGGAGUGGGGUGUAGGGGGUAAGCUCCUACGCCGAGAGGGGAACAACCCAGACCUGGGGUUAAGGCCCCUAAGUGCCCGCUAAGUGACAAACCAAAGGGCGUCUCCAGCCUAAGACAGCGGGGCCGUAGGCUUAGAAGCAGCCAUCGGCUAAGAAGUGCGUAACAGCUUACCCGCCGAGGCUGGGGGCCCCGAAAAUUGACGGGUCUAAGCGGGCCGCCGAAACCCCGGUCCACCAAGCAAGUGCUUGGUGGAGGUAGGAGGGCGUGGCGGUUGGGCAGAAGCCGGGCCGUGAGGUCCGGUGGACCGGCCGCCAAUGUAGAUCCCGGUGGUAGUAACAGCGAAGAGGGGUGAGAAUCCCCUCCGCCGAAGGGGCAAGGGUCUCCUGGCAAUGCGUCGUCAGCCAGGAGUAAGCCGGUCCUAAGGCCGACCUUAACCGGGUAGGCCGAAAGGGAAACCGGUUAAGAUUCCGGUGCCUCCGGGAUACGUGCGGCGACGCAAGCCCAGCCUCCGACGCUUCGGGGUAGGCCGAGCCGGGCCGUAGCCCGGUCUAACCGUAUAAGCCUGGGGAGUGCCGUAAAGGCGAGAACCAGGUGAAAGCGGGAAUGGCCGCCCGUAUGGGCGGUUCGGCUGAUCCCUGGAGCCCGUGAAAAGGGGGCUGGGAAGGAUUCCCGGAGACCGUGCCGAGAACCGACACAGGUGCCCCUAGGUGAGAAGCCUAAGGCGUAUCGGGUCACUCCGGGGUGAGGGAACUCGGCAAAUUGGCCCCGUACCUUCGGUAGAAGGGGUGCCUGCGGCCUUGGCGGAGACGCUGGGGCCGCAGGUCGCAGUGACUAGGGGGUCCCGACUGUUUAAUAACAACAUAGGAAGCCGCAAGACCGAAAGGUUUUGAACGGCUUCUGAAUCCUGGCCAGUGGGGGUACCUGAAACCCGGGUCCAACCGGGCUAAGGGCCCCUAAACGCCGGGAGUAACUCUGACUCUCUUAAGGUAGCCAAAUGCCUUGUCGGGUAAGUUCCGACGUGCAUGAAUGGAUCAACGAGGGCCCCACUGUCCCCACCCGGAGCCCGGUGAACCCACGUAACGUGGGCGAACAGUCCACGAGCCCCCAGCGGGGAAAGAAGACCCUGUGGAGGUUUACUGCAGCCUGUUGCUGGGAUGCGGUCGAAGGCACAGAGCGUAGGCGGGAGCCGUCGAUCCCAGCUUCUCCGGGAGCUGGGGGAGGCGCCGAUGUAACACCGCCUGCCUUUGGCUGCAUCCCUUACCGGGGCCUGGUGCCCUGGGACAACGGCAGGUGGGCAGUUCGGCUGGGGCGGCACCCCCUUGAAAAGAUAUCGAGGGGGCCCAAAGGUCGGCUUAGGCGGGACAGAAACCCGCCGUUAAGUGCAAGGGCAAAAGCCGGCCUGACUGGACCCUUGAACGCAAGGGGUCCAGAGGCGAAAGCCGGGCCUAGCGAUCCUUCAACUCCCACCGAUGGGGGUUGGAGGUGACAGAAAACUUACCCCAGGGAUAACAGGCUCGUCGCGGGCGAGAGUUCCCAUCGACCCCGCGGCUUGGUACCUCGAUGUCGGCUCUUCCCAUCCUGGCCGUGCAGCAGCGGCCAAGGGUGCGGCUGUUCGCCGAUUAAAGGGGAACGUGAGCUGGGUUUAGACCGUCGUGAGACAGAUCGGAUUUUACCUGCUGGGGGUGCUGGCUGCCUGAGGGGAAGGUGCUCCCAGUACGAGAGGAACGGAGCGCCGGGGCCAACGGUUUACCGGUUGUCCUACAGGGCAGAGCCGGGCAGCUGCGCCCCUGCGGAUAAGGGCUGAAAGCAUCUAAGCCCGAAGCCGCUCCCGAAAAUAGGCAGCCACUCCGGAGC